RNAcentral lists this long non-coding RNA (265 nucleotides) under Salvia miltiorrhiza (redroot sage). RNAcentral's name for it is "long non-coding RNA (SMIL_LNC013699)". Lineage: Eukaryota; Viridiplantae; Streptophyta; Magnoliopsida; Lamiales; Lamiaceae. The record is from RNAcentral.
CUACAUUUAUAUGUUGUAUUAAAAAAGUUAAAGUACAAAUGGUACCACACAUCCCUUCACCAACCAAGAAUUAGAACUCCAAUUUUUGCAACAACCUAAAUAUCCAAAUUCUAAAUCUUAAAAAAGAAAACAAUAUAGAAAACAAGACAUUGUGACUUCUCUUGCAAAGUCCAUUAUCCAAGGGUGCUAGGGUCAAUAUUUUUAUUAUUUUUUAUUUUUCUUAUUUUAAUUUUUAUUUUAUUUUAGUACCCAUCGUUUUUUAUUA